GCCUUCGUGGUGUAAUGGUCAGCACACUGAGCCGGUAAUUUCAGAGGUCCGUGGUUCGAUCCCCGGCGAAGGCA
Stegodyphus mimosarum is the source of this 74-nucleotide non-coding RNA. The record is from Rfam. NCBI's taxonomy places the organism in Eukaryota, Metazoa, Arthropoda, Arachnida, Araneae, Eresidae.